GUGUUAUCAUACCAUUGUUGCUUUGGCGGGCCCGCCUCGGCCACCGGCUCCGGCUGGUGAGCGCCCGCCAGAGGACCCCAAACUCUGAAAUUUAGUGUCGUCUGAGUACUAUAUAAUAGUUAAAACUUUCAACAACGGAUCUCUUGGUUCUGGCAUCGAUGAAGAACGCAGCGAAAUGCGAUAAGUAAUGUGAAUUGCAGAAUUCAGUGAAUCAUCGAAUCUUUGAACGCACAUUGCGCCCCUUGGUAUUCCGGGGGGCAUGCCUGUUCGAGCGUCAUUACAACCCUCAAGCUCUGCUUGGUAUUGGGCGUCCCCGGCAACGGGGUGCCCUAAAAUCAGUGGCGGUGCCGUCUGGCUCUAAGCGUAGUAAAUCUCUCGCUCUGGACGCCCGGUGGAUGCUCGCCAGUAACCCCCAAUUUUUUACAGGUUGACCUCGGAUCAGGUAGGGAUACCCGCUGA
This 459-nucleotide ribosomal RNA is filed under the name Neofabraea kienholzii. Its description in RNAcentral is "eukaryotic LSU rRNA". The stretch from base 124 to 277 matches the Rfam family "5.8S ribosomal RNA". Lineage: Eukaryota; Fungi; Ascomycota; Leotiomycetes; Helotiales; Dermateaceae. The record is from RNAcentral.